UGGAUCCAGACUUUGAUUAUGGCUCAGGAUGAACGCUGGCGGCGUGCCUAACACAUGCAAGUCGAACGAAGCUUUUUAUGGAUUUCUUCGGAAUGAAGUAAGAAUGACUUAGUGGCGGACGGGUGAGUAAUGCGUGAGCAACCUGCCUUUCAGAGGGGGAUAACAGUUGGAAACGACUGCUAAUACCGCAUAACGUGCGAAGACCGUAUGGUCUUUGUACCAAAACUGAGGUGCUGAAAGAUGGGCUCACGUCCGAUUAGAUAGUUGGUGAGGUAACGGCUCACCAAGUCGACGAUCGGUAGCCGGACUGAGAGGUUGAACGGCCACAUUGGGACUGGGACACGGCCCAGACUCCUACGGGAGGCAGCAGUGGGGAAUAUUGCACAAUGGGCGAAAGCCUGAUGCAGCAACGCCGCGUGAGGGAAGACGGUCU
RNAcentral lists this ribosomal RNA (433 nucleotides) under uncultured Bacillota bacterium. Its description in RNAcentral is "bacterial SSU rRNA". It matches the Rfam family "Bacterial small subunit ribosomal RNA", at positions 1 to 417 of the family's 1533-position model. Lineage: Bacteria; Bacillati; Bacillota. The record is from RNAcentral.